This 263-nucleotide long non-coding RNA is filed under the name Mytilus galloprovincialis (Mediterranean mussel). Lineage: Eukaryota; Metazoa; Mollusca; Bivalvia; Mytilida; Mytilidae. The record is from RNAcentral.
GUUUCCAUUUUGUAAAUGUUUUACCGAGCGAGUACUCUUCACCGAGGUAACAUCCCUUCAUGUUAUUAUAUAUUUUUUUCCAUUGUAUUUAAGAAAACAAUAAAUAGAUUUCAUUUGUCUCCCUUUUUUUUUUGUAGAGAAUCAGUUUCAAAAUAUAGUUAUCUCCCAUCUUAAAUUUAGCCUGUUAGUCAAAGGGAGACAACUUUAAUUUUCCACAAAAAUUACGGAAUUCCAUAAUAUUAUGGAGUUCGCUAAGUGCCCCG